Long non-coding RNA from Camelus dromedarius (Arabian camel), 884 nucleotides. RefSeq lists it as uncharacterized. NCBI's taxonomy places the organism in Eukaryota, Metazoa, Chordata, Mammalia, Artiodactyla, Camelidae. The record is from RefSeq and is a predicted model, not a curated record. The transcript is spliced from 2 exons.
UCAUGCUUCUGCAGGGCUCCGCCGGCCCGCCGCCGCCCCGGGAGCGCUCUCGCUUUUCCCGAGGACAGGAAAAAUUAGCCUCGGUAUUUCUAGCUGUUCCUGAGGAAAUGGCAUUUUAUUCAAAGGUGUCGUGGGAAACUGAACACGCUGCCUGCAUUAGUACCGGUUUCUGCGCCAAAGAAAAACAGAGCCUAUCAGUAAAUAAGUCACUGAUUACUGUCCUUAUCAGACUAUGAAGCCAUUGGAAUCUUAAUAUCUGGACACAUCUGAGAAGUGACAAAGCUGAGGACACUUUUCACACUUCCAUCCGGUGAUCACCAUAAUGAUCACACCGCGAAGUGAAGAGGGAGCCAAGAUGCUUCUCACCGCUGGGGUGUUCUGCCCUGACCAAAGGAUGCUUCCUGGGGUCUGUCCACUGCAUCUUUCUGGGUCUUUGUUUACAGCGACAGGACAAGAGCCCUGCAGAGCGGCAAAGAAACAGACUGCAUCUUGGUUUCCAACCUGUGGACCAUGAUGGUUUUGUGGUCCGCAUGGACACUAACGAUUGUCCCUCGACAAAAUAAUAUUUAAUUUUCAGUCAAAACUAUCUAUCGACUGCUAGUUAACAUAUAAUGGAAAAGAAUCUGAAAAGAAUAUAUAUAUAUAUUUAUAUAUAUAAAACUGAAUCACUUUGCUGUAUACCUGAAACUAACAUUGUAAAUUGACUACACUAACUACACUUCAAUAAGAAAUUAAAGAUAGAGACCCUGUCUAUUGACUGCUAAUUAUGAGGUAAGCACUGUUUCUGGGGCUACACAUUGUCCCCCUUCUAUUUGUUACUAUUUCCCAAAUAUACAUAGAAGAUAUCAUAAUGAGUAAAAUAAAAAUUAAUGUAAAAGUAUUAA